CAGUCGUACCUGCGGAUAAUCAGCCUUUAGGAUGCGAUUUUGUGGAGUGUGAGGAGCUAAUCGCCUUCAUGCCUGUAUUUUCGUGUACUUGGGGUGUACUUAUUCGUGUGGUAAGUUAACAUCAAUUUUGAUUGUCAUAAAAUGACUGGAGGAAUGUAGCUUCGAUCUCGUAUUGAAGUGUUAUAGCCUUUGGUAGAUGUGAUUAUCGGGAUUGAGGAUUGCAACGGAUACCCUUCGGGGCUACUUGUCUGAUCUCUGAUCGUUGCUCUGGUGCCGAAAGCGUGCUUACGGUUAUCAAAGUCGAUGGUUAAUAGGUUAGAAUGGGUUAAA
RNAcentral lists this ribosomal RNA (330 nucleotides) under uncultured fungus. RNAcentral's name for it is "LSU rRNA". The record is from RNAcentral. Lineage: Eukaryota; Fungi.